ACCCCAUUUCUACUAUGUAGCAAAAAAGAGCCCCAAAUGUGUCUACAAGCCAGCACUGCAGACACUAGUGUAGUACCUAAGAUAUUGCUGAGAUUCAUUUCACUAGUGACAGAAACUUAGAUCGGAGUCUGUUAAACCCUUUCAAACAUUUUCAGCCCCCAAUAUUUAAUGCAGUAAAGAACUGAGGUCUCAGGAAGUGGGCAAAGAAGUCUGCAGGCUGCUUCUGUUGUAAAGCGUUUAGUUCUUCAGAGUUAAACGUUGAACCCAAAUCACGUGCUUUCCUCAUGCAGCAGGAAGAGACGCCACCUGGACCGAAAGACCCUUUAAUUCAGACUCUUACUUCGAAUGCAGAGGCAAACAAUAUGUUAAAAGGACACGGUAUAAAAAAAAUUUGUUGGAGUUCAGCUAUGUAACUCUCUCAGAUACAAGAUUUAUUUAAGCGACUCCCUCACAGGAAAGUUUUACAACAGAGGAGAUCAGAGGGGCCAUAGACAAGAUUACUGCCAGUUUGUGGAUUCAUUUUUAGAUGGCCGCACAGGACAACAGCCCGCCUCUGACCCACCAAAGAAGGCUACUUCAGAGCCGUUUGUCAAGAACCUGUCCGAUUUGGAUAGGCGGUCAUACCCAAAUCAAUUAUGUCCAGUGGUAUGAAUGUGGGACCACAAUUCCUGGGAAAUGGUAGCUGCAGCACAACUGUUUCCAAAGUGCUUCUGGUUCAUUUUCACAAAAGGAAACAAAGAACCGGUUGGAAAUCCUAUGGUGUUUGCCACCCCCACUCCAAGCUGUUUGUUUACUGUGUACGAAAGUCUGCAGGCUAACUGAGAGCAGCACUAGAUGUUCAUUGUUAGAAAAGAUUUCUGAGACUAUCGGGUUUACAAAGAUGUUUUAAGAAAGCAAGAUAUUAUUAACAUUAAUAGUAUAACAUUUUUAGGG
Molecule: non-coding RNA, 933 nt
Organism: Myodes glareolus (Bank vole)
Lineage: Eukaryota; Metazoa; Chordata; Mammalia; Rodentia; Cricetidae
Source: RefSeq, a predicted model, not a curated record